CCCUAGUAACGGCGAGUGAAGCGGCAACAGCUCAAAUUUGAAAUCUGGCCUCACGGUCCGAAUUGUAAUUUGUAGAGGAUGUUUCUGGCGACGUGUCUUCCGAGUUCCCUGGAACGGGACGCCAUAGAGGGUGAGAGCCCCGUCCGGUCGUACACCUAGCCUCUGUGAAACUCCUUCGACGAGUCGAGUAGUUUGGGAAUGCUGCUCUAAAUGGGAGGUAUACGUCUUCUAAAGCUAAAUACCGGCCAGAGACCGAUAGCGCACAAGUAGAGUGAUCGAAAGAUGAAAAGCACUUUGAAAAGAGGGUUAAAUAGUACGUGAAAUUGCUGAAAGGGAAGCGCUUAUGACCAGACUUGGGCUCGGUGAAUCAUCCGGCGUUCUCGCCGGUGCACUUUGCCGUCCCAGGCCAGCAUCAGUUCGCGCCGGGGGAUAAAGGUUUCGGGAAUGUAGCUCCCUCGGGAGUGUUAUAGCCCGUUGCGUAAUACCCUGGCGUGGACUGAGGUCCGCGCUCUGCAAGGAUGC
RNAcentral lists this ribosomal RNA (522 nucleotides) under Acremonium alternatum. RNAcentral's name for it is "eukaryotic LSU rRNA". It matches the Rfam family "Eukaryotic large subunit ribosomal RNA", at positions 78 to 626 of the family's 3401-position model. The record is from RNAcentral. Lineage: Eukaryota; Fungi; Ascomycota; Sordariomycetes; Hypocreales; Bionectriaceae.